RNAcentral lists this transfer-messenger RNA (355 nucleotides) under bacterium. RNAcentral's name for it is "f CAIPLT01 X1 Standard tmRNA". It matches the Rfam family "transfer-messenger RNA". Rfam says of the family: Bacterial tmRNA, also known as 10Sa RNA or SsrA, is named for its dual tRNA and mRNA-like properties. Its role is to liberate the mRNA from a stalled ribosome. RNAcentral also lists the same sequence under 1 other name. The record is from RNAcentral.
GGGGGCGAAUGGGUUCGACGGAGUGAUUGAUGGGUUUAGGGGCAUAGCGAGGUUCUUCUAUCGCCUCGUUAAUCUUGAUAGAAGAAAAAACAGCUGCCAAUAACAGCUACGCACUGGCUGCCUAAUUAAAGGCAACCCCUUAAUCGGCAAGUUCACCCGGUGCCGAAUUAGGGUCGAAUAGGGUGAUAAAGGUUUAGGUUUUGUCUCAGAAUCUAAACUGGAUAAUUUAUUGAGACUGGUUGGUUUCCGCCUGUCCUUUGGCUAAGAAACCGACGACAAAGAUAAAAGGACUAACUAUGUAGAACCUAAAUCCUGAACGCUUCGGACGCGGGUUCGAUUCCCGCCGCCUCCAUUU